AUGAGCUGUGUUUCCCACAGCAGUUCAGGGCUGGGUGCCCGCCUGCGGUCCCAUCCCAAGGAGCUCCCUGCCUUCAGCCCUGUCCAGCUCUCUUCAGCUGCUGCAGACCUGAGACCACCUCACCCUGACUUCCCUUUUUCAAACUCCCUAGGGCCUUCUGCAGGAUGUCCUCCUCCCUGCAGUCUCAAGUGCUCAGCUGUGCUUGGUGGAUACAUUCUCCUGCCAGUCCUUCAGAUGAAAGGGCAGCAGGGAAGGAGAUUCGUGCUGGAUUCGGAGCUGUUCGUGUGGUACAGAGAGCCUGGAUGCUGGGCCCAGAGAAAGUCAUCCUACCAUCCUGCAACGCUCCUAUCACUUUCAUCUCUCCUGCACCCAAGGCAGUGUCUGGCGGCCUCUCCAUAUAGCAUCUGCACGAGCAUCUCUGGACGACAGUGGAGAUGUCACCUGUCAGAGAGCCCUGCUCCAGGGCAGCCCUUCGCCUCCCAAGGGAUGAGGGAGAGCCUUCCUGGUGGAAAGGAAGUGGCAAGACCCACUCAGCUUUCUUCCUAGAUCCCCUCCUUCUCCUUCCCUGAGUCUUCCAGUUUCUGAGCCAAGCACCUGGUCCUCUCACCUGUGAACAGUGGACUGCAUUGCAGAUCUGUGUCAGGGGAUAAUGUGAAUGUGUGUGGGUUCCACAAGCUCUGACUUUAGACAUAUGUGUGUGUGAUGGGUCUGCUGAGUGAGCUGCCUGCCUCAUUGACGCCAGCAGCUCCUGGGAUCUGCCGGGGCCGGCGUAGGCACCUGCUGAGCAGGGGGUUGGGAGGAGGUGUGAAGCAGCCUUGUGCUCCCAGAAGCCCACUCCUACCUGGGAAAGAAGGGAACAGAUAUCUCUCAGAGCAAAACCAGCCCCAGUGGAGAGGCAAGAACUACCAGAAGCCACCAGCCUGGCUGUCCUUGUGGUCUGAGUUUCUCUCACCCCGAGUCUGCCAGGGGAAUGAAUGAAACUUCUUUCCUAAUUUUCAUAAAAUAUAAGUUGCACUCAUUCUUGUGAAAUGUUUUCCUUUCUGGUAGAUUUUCUUGAAAAAAAGUAGAUCAAGUUUACAGCCCAGCACCUUGUGUUACUCAUUUGUGAGUGGCCCACCCUCUCCUCCUCACUCCCUCUUCUCGCAGAGGCUCCUGUGUUUCUUCUCACCAUUACUAGAGGAAGCUCAAUAGACACAGGGGUGAUCACACUGUACGUCCCUGUGUCUGCUUCCCCAAUUCAUGGGAAAGUGACACAUUCGCCCCCAUUGUAACUGGAUGAAUUCCCAUAACUAGUUCUAGAAAAUGAUGUUUAAGCCCAGUUGGAGGUGCUCCAGAUUUAUUUAGUGACCAACGUGAAGAGCAAUUUUCAAGACAAUGGUUGAUCCCACAGUAGACAUGUGGCAUGAGGGAGACCUUAAUCUCUAUUUUCAUCAGUUAUUGAGAUUAGGGUGGAUGUUUUUGUUACUGCAGUAUAACUUAGCCUAACCUGACUCAUACAGUAGGUCACUGAGUCAGAGCACUAGUAUUUUAAUUUUUCCUGUGUGAUCACUGUCUGUGGGCUUUGAGCAGUUCCUUAACCUCUUGUAUCUCUGCUUUGAAGUAAGUCCUGGAUCAGAGAGUUAUUGUGGCUAUCUACCAAGCCCAUAUGUAUAAAACUGCUUAUGUGUGGUACAUUGAGAGCAUGUAAGUUGUUUUUUCCUUGCUGGGAUAAUAUUAGAUAAUUUCAGGACAGAAGACUCAAUAUACUCAACCAUAACUUGUCAAAAUAUUCCCCUGAUACAAACUGAUCUUUCCCUAGGAGAAGUGGCAAUAUAGUAGUUGAAAUAAUACCCAGUGCCCUUUCACUGUAUGCAUUGCUUAUGCAGCUUUCUCUUACUUGGGCAGCUACACCCUAUGCUGGUCCUAGGCAGACUCAGCUGGGAUUUCCCAGCCGCCUGUGCGUCUGCACCCUUAAUCCAGCUGCGGUGGUUGGCACGUGCCACCAACUGCAGGUGUGUGCACCCAGAAUCAAAUAAGCGAUAUAUGAUUGCGGCCUGCCCUGGGUCUCGCUGUGGCAUUUGCUAUGAAAGUUUCUGGGACUGAAAAUAUUUGGCUCAGAACAGCACCUGCACUUGAAAUUUGGGCAAAAAUGGGACAUCUAGUGGCCAGAAAGGAGCCCUGAGAGAGAGCACCAACCGGCCUCCAUUGUGCGGCCCGCCUGCCAACGUGAGGGAGCCCACUCCCGAUACUGAGACAAGAGCUGCGCUAGCAGCUGCCCAGCCCCAAGGCGAUGGGGUAAAAGCGGCUACCACAGGCAGAGCUGCCAUACAGAGAAAUCUCCAGGUUCUGCGUGGUGUCACUGAUUCGGACUAUACAGGGAAAUCAGUUACUUAAAACAUUGCUUAAAUCACCCCAGACUCUCGUACUGCUCAAUUCAUCAUUCUUCCUUUGACAAAAUGUAAAAGAUUAUAAAUAAAUUUAAAAAAGGAAUCCAAGGGUUUGGGUUUUUGACACCCAUUGGGUUCAAAGAUAGAACUGAUUAGUUAAAGAAAAAACAUUGUAAAGGCUUUUAGACACAAGUGUGGAUGGCCUCUGGGUAUGGCGGAUACAGCUACACAAUAACAAAGGUGCUGGAUUGCUGACCUGGAGGGUGGCAAAGGGUCGUUCAGCAGGGAGUAGAGCCUCCCAGGGGAUUUCUGCUCUGCAGAAAACAAAGCCUCGCCUGACAGGGAAUACAGCCUCACAGGGAACAUAGCGGGUUUUUCUCUCUCCAUUACAACUGACACUAAAAGAGAAGCCUUUACAUUUUCCCCUUAAGGUGAUUAAUUUAAAAGGCUGUUUCCAUCCUCAAGAUAAAAACAGUUUUCAUUUAGUUAAAAAAAUCAUGUUUCCUAACAUUUACAAUAAUGGGGAUAUUUAAAAAAGAUUACUUAAAGUUCUCUUGAUUCCUAAUAACAUUGAUAGCCUAUUUUACAGUCUUAAAUUAAAUUGAUAUAAAAAGCUUUGAUAUUUUACAAACAGAUAUAAAGAUUUAGAGUGCAAUCUAAAAGCAGUGAGGUUUAAACAGUUGCUUGAUUUUGACAUCCCACUUAAAUAAUGGCAGGCCUGGUGGUGGCCUCAAAGGGGUACAAGCUAUGAUAACUUCUUCACAUUUGAGUUACCUUAUCCUACAAAGACAAAUUACCCCCAACUGUUCAGGUCAAUCUAAAAUGAUUUUCAGACUAUUUGGUGAUGUUAAUUGGCUCCGCCCAGCUUUUGAGCUAAUUUCUCU
Molecule: long non-coding RNA, 3250 nt
Organism: Chinchilla lanigera (long-tailed chinchilla)
Lineage: Eukaryota; Metazoa; Chordata; Mammalia; Rodentia; Chinchillidae
Source: Ensembl